GACGAACGCUGGCGGCGUGCCUAAUACAUGCAAGUCGAACGAGAGCGACCGGUGCUUGCACUGGUCAUCUAGUGGCGAACGGGUGAGUAACACGUGGGUAACCUGCCCAUCAGAGGGGGAUAACAUCCGGAAACGGAUGCUAAAACCGCAUAGGUCUUCGAACCGCAUGGUUUGAAGAGGAAAAGAGGCGCAAGCUUCUGCUGAUGGAUGGACCCGCGGUGCAUUAGCUAGUUGGUGAGGUAACGGCUCACCAAGGCCGUGAUGCAUAGCCGACCUGAGAGGGUGAUCGGCCACAUUGGGACUGAGACACGGCCCAAACUCCUACGGGAGGCAGCAGUAGGGAAUCUUCCGCAAUGGACGCAAGUCUGACGGAGCAACGCCGCGUGAGUGAAGAAGGUUUUCGGAUCGUAAAACUCUGUUGUUAGAGAAGAACAAGUGCUAGAGUAACUGUUAGCGCCUUGACGGUAUCUAACCAGAAAGCCACGGCUAACUACGUG
This 497-nucleotide ribosomal RNA is filed under the name uncultured bacterium. RNAcentral's name for it is "partial 16S ribosomal RNA". It matches the Rfam family "Bacterial small subunit ribosomal RNA", at positions 28 to 507 of the family's 1533-position model. The record is from RNAcentral.